This 1265-nucleotide ribosomal RNA is filed under the name Phyllobrotica quadrimaculata. Its description in RNAcentral is "16S ribosomal RNA". The stretch from base 1026 to 1184 matches the Rfam family "Archaeal large subunit ribosomal RNA", at positions 2542 to 2701 of the family's 2987-position model. Lineage: Eukaryota; Metazoa; Arthropoda; Insecta; Coleoptera; Chrysomelidae. The record is from RNAcentral.
AAUAUUUAUUUUAUUUAAUUUGUUAAUAGUUUUUAAAUUAAUUUAAAUAUAAUUUUAUUUAUUAAUAAAAUUGAAAUAUAUAAAUUUAUAAUAGUAUAUAGUAUUGUGAAAGAAUAAUAAUUUUUAUUAUAUAGAAAAAUUAAUUUUUUGUACCUUGUGUAUCAGGGCUUAUUAAUUAAAAAUAAGUUAAUUUUAUUUUUUCGAAUUUAAAAGAGCUAAUAAAUUAAAAUUUUUAUUGUUGAAUAAAUAUUUUAAAUAAUUUAUUAGUAAUGAAAUGUUAUUCGUUUUUAAAUAUAUCUAAUUUUUUAAGAAAUAAAUUUAAUUUAUUUAUUAUCAAUAUGAUUAUAAUUUUGUAUUUUUAUAUUAGUAAUAUACAAUAUUUUUAGGGAUAAGCUUAAAAAUAUAAAUUUAAUAAAAAUUAAAGUUUAAAUUAAAAUUAGAAUUAAAAAUUUUCAAAUUUUUAAGUAUAUUAUUCUUUAUUUUUGAGUAUUUAAAAUUUUUAUUUUUUAUAGAUAUUUUAUUAAAAUAUACUUUAAAAUUUUAUUAAAGUAGUAAUAAUGAUAAGAUUAGUAUAAUAAUUUUUCAAAAUAAUUGGAUAAGUUAUGUUAAGUAGAUGAAUUCGGCAAAAAAUUUUUCACCUGUUUAUUAAAAACAUGUCUUUUUGUUUUAAAUUUAAAGUCUUGCCUGCCCACUGAUAUUUGAAUGGCCGCGGUAUUUUGACCGUGCUAAGGUAGCAUAAUCAUUAGUUUUUUAAUUGAAAGCUAGAAUGAAGGGUUGGAUGAAAAAAUAACUGUUUUUAUUUAAUUUUUAUAGAAUUUUAUUUUUUAGUUAAAAAGCUAAGAUAGCAUUAAAAGACGAGAAGACCCUAUAGAGUUUAAUAGAUAUAUUAUUAAUUUUUAAGAUUUAAUAUUGUAUUUAUUUUAAUUGGGGUGAUUGAAAAAUUUAAUUAACUUUUUCUUUAUGUUUAUAUUUAUAGAUAAAUAAUUGAUCCGAUAAAAUUGAUUAAAAGAAAAAAUUACCUUAGGGAUAACAGCGUAAUUUUAUUGGAGAGUUCUAAUCGAUAAUAAAGUUUGCGACCUCGAUGUUGGAUUAAAAUUUAUAGUUGGUGAAGAAGUUAACUUAUUAAGUCUGUUCGACUUUUAAAAUUUUACAUGAUCUGAGUUUAAACCGGUGUGAGCCAGGUUGGUUUCUAUCUUUAAUUUGUUAAUAUAUUUUAGUACGAAAGGACCAAAUAUGUAAAUUAAAUUUUAAAUUUGAUAAAUAAU